UACAAAAUUUAAUAAAGUAUAAAUGCAGGUAAUUAACAAACAUUUAUCAUUAUUACCUAAACUAUUGUCAUCUUCAUACAACAAUGAGCUGUAAAUUUGUGUUUUUGAGUUUUAGGAGUAUGGCUUAUUGGAAGUGUAUUUGCACUUGACCACAGAAAGAACGAGAAGUUAAAUCAAGCAAAUGCUGGAGCAUCCGGGCAACAAGCACAAGGGAACUCGUUGACGGACGACGAAAGACCUGCAAAGGGGUAAAAAACCUUGAUGAGAAAAUAAAAAAAAUUCGGAUGUACAGUUUGGUGGUUGAUAUGAGAACUUUAAAUGACACGUGUGUUCAUAUGAAUUGUAUGAAAUUUGAAUAAAGUAUUAAGACUAUAA
Ruditapes philippinarum (Manila clam) is the source of this 375-nucleotide long non-coding RNA. RefSeq lists it as uncharacterized. The record is from RefSeq and is a predicted model, not a curated record. The transcript is spliced from 3 exons. NCBI's taxonomy places the organism in Eukaryota, Metazoa, Mollusca, Bivalvia, Venerida, Veneridae.